This 460-nucleotide ribosomal RNA is filed under the name uncultured bacterium. Its description in RNAcentral is "partial 16S ribosomal RNA". It matches the Rfam family "Bacterial small subunit ribosomal RNA", at positions 338 to 795 of the family's 1533-position model. The record is from RNAcentral.
CCUACGGGUGGCAGCAGUGAGGAAUAUUGGUCAAUGGACGAGAGUCUGAACCAGCCAAGUAGCGUGAAGGAUGACUGCCCUAUGGGUUGUAAACUUCUUUUAUAUGGGAAUAAAAUGUUCCACGUGUGGGAUUUUGUAUGUACCAUAUGAAUAAGGAUCGGCUAACUCCGUGCCAGCAGCCGCGGUAAUACGGAGGAUCCGAGCGUUAUCCGGAUUUAUUGGGUUAGAAGGGAGCGUAGGUGGAUUGUUAAGUCAGUUGUGAAAGUUUGCGGCUCAACCGUAAAAUUGCAGUUGAAACUGGCAGUCUUGAGUACAGUAGAGGUGGGCGGAAUUCGUGGUGUAGCGGUGAAAUGCUUAGAUAUCACGAAGAACUCCGAUUGCGAAGGCAGUUCACUGGACUGCAACGGACACUGAGGCUCGAAAGUGUGGGUAUCAAACAGGAUUAGAUACCCCGGUAGUC